This 470-nucleotide ribosomal RNA is filed under the name uncultured bacterium. Its description in RNAcentral is "bacterial SSU rRNA". It matches the Rfam family "Bacterial small subunit ribosomal RNA", at positions 331 to 793 of the family's 1533-position model. The record is from RNAcentral.
UGUGACUCCUACGGGAGGCAUCAGUGGGGAAUAUUGCACAAUGGGCGCAAGCCUGAUGCAGCCAUGCCGCGUGUAUGAAGAAGGCCUUCGGGUUGUAAAGUACUUUCAGCAGUGAGGAAGGCGGGUACGUUAAUAGCGUAUUCGUUUGACGUUAGCUGCAGAAGAAGCACCGGCUAACUCCGUGCCAGCAGCCGCGGUAAUACGGAGGGUGCGAGCGUUAAUCGGAAUUACUGGGCGUAAAGCGCAUGCAGGUGGUUUGUUAAGUCAGAUGUGAAAGCCCCGGGGCUCAACCUCGGAAUUGCAUUUGAAACUGGCAGACUAGAGUACUGUAGAGGGGGUAGAAUUUCAGGUGUAGCGGUGAAAUGCGUAGAGAUCUGAAGGAAUACCGGUGGCGAAGGCGGCCCCCUGGACAGAUACUGACACUCAGAUGCGAAAGCGUGGGGAGCAAACAGGAUUAGAUACCCUGGUAG